Molecule: ribosomal RNA, 446 nt
Filed under: uncultured bacterium
Lineage: Bacteria
Description: SSU rRNA
Rfam family: Bacterial small subunit ribosomal RNA
Source: RNAcentral
AGAAUGAACGCUGGCGGCAUGCCUAACACAUGCAAGUCGAACGAGACCUUCGGGUCUAGUGGCGCACGGGUGCGUAACGCGUGGGAAUCUGCCCUUGGGUUCGGAAUAACAGUUAGAAAUGACUGCUAAUACCGAAUGAUGACGUAAGUCCAAAGAUUUAUCGCCCAGGGAUGAGCCCGCGUAGGAUUAGCUUGUUGGUGAGGUAAAAGCUCACCAAGGCGACGAUCCUUAGCUGGUCUGAGAGGAUGAUCAGCCACACUGGGACUGAGACACGGCCCAGACUCCUACGGGAGGCAGCAGUGGGGAAUAUUGGACAAUGGGCGAAAGCCUGAUCCAGCAAUGCCGCGUGAGUGAUGAAGGCCUUAGGGUUGUAAAGCUCUUUUACCCGGGAUGAUAAUGACAGUACCGGGAGAAUAAGCUCCGGCUAACUCCGCGCCAGCAGCCGC